GUCCUAGCAGUAAACGUUGGGCACUAGGUGUGGCGGACUCAUUGACGUCUGCCGUGCCGCAGCUAACGCAUUAAGUGCCCCGCCUGGGGAGUACGGUCGCAAGGCUAAAACUCAAAGGAAUUGACGGGAGCCCCGCACAAGCGGCGGAGCAUGCGGCUUAAUUCGAUGCAACCCGAAGAACCUUACCUGGGCUUGACAUCACGGGAAAUCUCACAGAGAUGUGAGGUCCGAAAGGGCCCGUGACAGGUGGUGCAUGGCUGUCGU
RNAcentral lists this ribosomal RNA (264 nucleotides) under uncultured bacterium. RNAcentral describes it as "partial 16S ribosomal RNA". It matches the Rfam family "Bacterial small subunit ribosomal RNA", at positions 793 to 1055 of the family's 1533-position model. The record is from RNAcentral.